UAAACUCUCAAGCUAAGCUUGGUAUUGGGAACCAUCCUCCGAGGAUGAUCCCGCAACUCGUCGAGCAUGAUUUCAACACUUCAAACGUAGCAAGAUUUACUCGUUUAGUGGAUGCUGAAGUCGUCGCCGGAUGAAGAUUUUAACUUCCCAA
RNAcentral lists this unclassified non-coding RNA (151 nucleotides) under uncultured Ascomycota. RNAcentral's name for it is "sequence contains ITS2". The record is from RNAcentral. Lineage: Eukaryota; Fungi; Ascomycota.